AGAGUUGAUCCUGGCUAGGACGAACGCUGGCGGCAUGCCUAACACAUGCAAGUCGAACGGGGGUAGCAAUACCCGUAGUGGCGAACGGGUGAGUAACACAUAAGCAAUCUGCCCUUCACAGGGGGAUAACAGCGGGAAACUGCUGCUAAUACCGCAUAAGACCACGGUACCGCAUGGUACAGGGGUAAAAACGAAUCAGUGGUGAAGGAUGAGCUUAUGUCCCAUUAGCUAGUUGGUGAGAUAACAGCCCACCAAGGCGACGAUGGGUAGCCGACCUGAGAGGGUGAUCGGCCACACUGGAACUGAGACACGGUCCAGACUCCUACGGGAGGCAGCAGUGGGGAAUAUUGGGCAAUGGAGGAAACUCUUUAACCCCCAGCAAUGCCGCGUGAGUGAAGAAGGUCUUCGGAUUGUAAAGCUCUUUGAUUGGGGACGAAGAAAGUGACGGCACCCAAAGAACAAGCCCCGGCUAACUACGUGCCAGCAGCUGC
RNAcentral lists this ribosomal RNA (491 nucleotides) under uncultured bacterium. RNAcentral's name for it is "bacterial SSU rRNA". It matches the Rfam family "Bacterial small subunit ribosomal RNA", at positions 9 to 518 of the family's 1533-position model. The record is from RNAcentral.